The sequence is a ribosomal RNA, 605 nucleotides long. It matches the Rfam family "Bacterial large subunit ribosomal RNA", at positions 1809 to 2620 of the family's 2925-position model.
AAAAACAUCGCCUCCUGCUAAAAAUCAAAGUAUAAGAGGUCCUACCUGCCCAGUGACAAUCAAGUUUAACGGCCGCGGUAUUUUGACCGUGCUAAGGUAGCGCAAUCACUUGUCUUUUAAAUGAAGACCCGUAUGAAUGGUGGAACGAGGGCUUAACUGUCUCCCUUUUCAGGUCAGUGAAAUUGAUCUGUCCGUGCAGAAGCGGACAUAAACAUACAAGACGAGAAGACCCUUUGGAGCUUAAGACAUAAAGUCAACUAUGUCAAAAAUCUCUGUAAACGAGAGCCAAACAAAAUAUUAACUGACUCAAGUCUUCGGUUGGGGCGACCACGGGGGAAAACAAAGCCCCCAUGUGGAAUGGGAUAAAACCUAAAACCACGAGGGACACCUCUAAGUCACAGAACAUCUGACCAAAAGAUCCGGCACUAAGCCGAUCAACGAACCAAGUUACCCUAGGGAUAACAGCGCAAUCCCCUCCAAGAGUCCAUAUCGACAAGGGGGUUUACGACCUCGAUGUUGGAUCAGGACAUCCUAAUGGUGCAGCCGCUAUUAAGGGUUCGUUUGUUCAACGAUUAAAGUCCUACGUGAUCUGAUUCCAGAACCGG